Molecule: ribosomal RNA, 309 nt
Filed under: uncultured bacterium
Lineage: Bacteria
Description: partial 16S ribosomal RNA
Rfam family: Bacterial small subunit ribosomal RNA
Source: RNAcentral
AGAGACAGCAGCCGCCACGGUAAUACGAAGGGUGCAAGCGUUAAUCGGAAUUACUGGGCGUAAAGCGCACGCAGGCGGUUUGUUAAGUCAGAUGUGAAAUCCCCGAGCUUAACUUGGGAACUGCAUUUGAAACUGGCAAGCUAGAGUCUUGUAGAGGGGGGUAGAAUUCCAGGUGUAGCGGUGAAAUGCGUAGAGAUCUGGAGGAAUACCGGUGGCGAAGGCGGCCCCCUGGACAAAGACUGACGCUCAUGUGCGAAAGCGUGGGGAGCAAACAGGAUUAGAUACCCGCGUAGUCCCUGUCUCUUAUAC